RNAcentral lists this ribosomal RNA (515 nucleotides) under Crosnierita urizae. RNAcentral describes it as "partial 16S ribosomal RNA". It matches the Rfam family "Bacterial large subunit ribosomal RNA", at positions 1831 to 2597 of the family's 2925-position model. The record is from RNAcentral. Lineage: Eukaryota; Metazoa; Arthropoda; Malacostraca; Decapoda; Munididae.
GUCUGUAUGUAGUUAUAUGGAGUCUAACCUGCCCGUUGAAAGAGUUUGAAAGGCCGCGGUAUAUUAACUGUGCAAAGGUAGCAUAAUCAUUAGCUUUUUAAUUGGAGGCUUGAAUGAAGGGUUGGACAAAGAAAAAUCUGUCUUUAAUUUUGAGUUUGAAUUUAACUUUUAAGUGAAAAGGCUUAAAUAUUUUUAAGGGACGAUAAGACCCUAUAAAUCUUUAUAUUAAACUAUUUUAUUAAAAAAUAAUAUUUGUCUAGAUUUAAAUAAAACAUGAAAAUAUUUUGUUGGGGUGACAAGAAUAUAGAAUUAACUGUUCUUUAAUUAAACAGAUUUGUUUGUUUAUUUAGUAGAUCCUUUUUAGAGAUUAAAAGUUUAAGUUACUUUAGGGAUAACAGCGUUAUUUUUUUUGAGAGUUCAUAUCGAAAGAAGAGUUUGCGACCUCGAUGUUGAAUUAAGAUUUCUCUGCGGUGCAGUUGUUGUGGGAGGAAAGUCUGUUCGACUUUUGAAAUUUU